UUAAGUUAUUAAGGGCGCACGGUGGAUGCCUUGGCACUAGAAGCCGAUGAAGGACGUUACUAACGACGAUAUGCUUUGGGGAGCUGUAAGUAAGCUUUGAUCCAGAGAUUUCCGAAUGGGGAAACCCAGCAUGAGUUAUGUCAUGUUAUCGAUAUGUGAAUACAUAGCAUAUCAGAAGGCACACCCGGAGAACUGAAACAUCUUAGUACCCGGAGGAAGAGAAAGAAAAUUCGAUUCCCUUAGUAGCGGCGAGCGAAACGGGAAGAGCCCAAACCAACAAGCUUGCUUGUUGGGGUUGUAGGACACUCUAUACGGAGUUACAAAGGACGACAUUAGACGAAUCAUCUGGAAAGAUGAAUCAAAGAAGGUAAUAAUCCUGUAGUCGAAAAUGUUGUCUCUCUUGAGUGGAUCCUGAGUACGACGGAGCACGUGAAAUUCCGUCGGAAUCUGGGAGGACCAUCUCCUAAGGCUAAAUACUCUCUAGUGACCGAUAGUGAACCAGUACCGUGAGGGAAAGGUGAAAAGCACCCCGGAAGGGGAGUGAAAUAGAACCUGAAACCGUGUGCUUACAAGUAGUCAGAGCCCGUUAAUGGGUGAUGGCGUGCCUUUUGUAGAAUGAACCGGCGAGUUACGAUUUGAUGCAAGGUUAAGCAGUAAAUGUGGAGCCGUAGCGAAAGCGAGUCUGAAUAGGGCGUUUAGUAUUUGGUCGUAGACCCGAAACCAGGUGAUCUACCCUUGGUCAGGUUGAAGUUCAGGUAACACUGAAUGGAGGACCGAACCGACUUACGUUGAAAAGUGAGCGGAUGAACUGAGGGUAGCGGAGAAAUUCCAAUCGAACCUGGAGAUAGCUGGUUCUCUCCGAAAUAGCUUUAGGGCUAGCCUCAAGUGAUGAUUAUUGGAGGUAGAGCACUGUUUGGACGAGGGGCCCCUCUCGGGUUACCGAAUUCAGACAAACUCCGAAUGCCAAUUAAUUUAACUUGGGAGUCAGAACAUGGGUGAUAAGGUCCGUGUUCGAAAGGGAAACAGCCCAGACCACCAGCUAAGGUCCCAAAAUAUAUGUUAAGUGGAAAAGGAUGUGGCGUUGCCCAGACAACUAGGAUGUUGGCUUAGAAGCAGCCAUCAUUUAAAGAGUGCGUAAUAGCUCACUAGUCGAGUGACACUGCGCCGAAAAUGUACCGGGGCUAAACAUAUUACCGAAGCUGUGGAUUGUCCUUUGGACAAUGGUAGGAGAGCGUUCUAAGGGCGUUGAAGCAUGAUCGUAAGGACAUGUGGAGCGCUUAGAAGUGAGAAUGCCGGUGUGAGUAGCGAAAGACGGGUGAGAAUCCCGUCCACCGAUUGACUAAGGUUUCCAGAGGAAGGCUCGUCCGCUCUGGGUUAGUCGGGUCCUAAGCUGAGGCCGACAGGCGUAGGCGAUGGAUAACAGGUUGAUAUUCCUGUACCACCUAUAAUCGUUUUAAUCGAUGGGGGGACGCAGUAGGAUAGGCGAAGCGUGCGAUUGGAUUGCACGUCUAAGCAGUAAGGCUGAGUAUUAGGCAAAUCCGGUACUCGUUAAGGCUGAGCUGUGAUGGGGAGAAGACAUUGUGUCUUCGAGUCGUUGAUUUCACACUGCCGAGAAAAGCCUCUAGAUAGAAAAUAGGUGCCCGUACCGCAAACCGACACAGGUAGUCAAGAUGAGAAUUCUAAGGUGAGCGAGCGAACUCUCGUUAAGGAACUCGGCAAAAUGACCCCGUAACUUCGGGAGAAGGGGUGCUCUUUAGGGUUAACGCCCAGAAGAGCCGCAGUGAAUAGGCCCAAGCGACUGUUUAUCAAAAACACAGGUCUCUGCUAAACCGUAAGGUGAUGUAUAGGGGCUGACGCCUGCCCGGUGCUGGAAGGUUAAGAGGAGUGGUUAGCUUCUGCGAAGCUACGAAUCGAAGGCCCAGUAAACGGCGGCCGUAACUAUUUCGGUCCUAAGGUAGCGAAAUUCCUUGUCGGGUAAGUUCCGACCCGCACGAAAGGCGUAACGAUUUGGGCACUGUCUCAACGAGAGACUCGGUGAAAUCAUAGUACCUGUGAAGAUGCAGGUUACCCGCGACAGGACGGAAAGACCCCGUGGAGCUUUACUGUAGCCUGAUAUUGAAAUUCGGCACAGCUUGUACAGGAUAGGUAGGAGCCUUUGAAACGUGAGCGCUAGCUUACGUGGAGGCGCUGGUGGGAUACUACCCUAGCUGUGUUGGCUUUCUAACCCGCACCACUUAUCGUGGUGGGAGACAGUGUCAGGCGGGCAGUUUGACUGGGGCGGUCGCCUCCUAAAAGGUAACGGAGGCGCUCAAAGGUUCCCUCAGAAUGGUUGGAAAUCAUUCAUAGAGUGUAAAGGCAUAAGGGAGCUUGACUGCGAGACCUACAAGUCGAGCAGGGUCGAAAGACGGACUUAGUGAUCCGGUGGUUCCGCAUGGAAGGGCCAUCGCUCAACGGAUAAAAGCUACCCCGGGGAUAACAGGCUUAUCUCCCCCAAGAGUUCACAUCGACGGGGAGGUUUGGCACCUCGAUGUCGGCUCAUCGCAUCCUGGGGCUGUAGUCGGUCCCAAGGGUUGGGCUGUUCGCCCAUUAAAGCGGUACGCGAGCUGGGUUCAGAACGUCGUGAGACAGUUCGGUCCCUAUCCGUCGUGGGCGUAGGAAAUUUGAGAGGAGCUGUCCUUAGUACGAGAGGACCGGGAUGGACAUACCUCUGGUGUACCAGUUGUCGUGCCAACGGCAUAGCUGGGUAGCUAUGUGUGGACGGGAUAAGUGCUGAAAGCAUCUAAGCAUGAAGCCCCCCUCAAGAUGAGAUUUCCCAACUUCGGUUAUAAGAUCCCUCAAAGAUGAUGAGGUUAAUAGGUUCGAGGUGGAAGCAUGGUGACAUGUGGAGCUGACGAAUACUAAUCGAUCGAAGACUUAAUCAA
RNAcentral lists this ribosomal RNA (2921 nucleotides) under Staphylococcus aureus. Its description in RNAcentral is "bacterial LSU rRNA". It matches the Rfam family "Bacterial large subunit ribosomal RNA". The record is from RNAcentral. Lineage: Bacteria; Bacillati; Bacillota; Bacilli; Caryophanales; Staphylococcaceae.